GCAAAAUGAUACUUUGCUCUUCUCCAUUUAUUAACUGACAUUUUUUUCUGUAAGGAAGAGCUUUUUCUCAUCAACUAGGAAUGAACUAAAGUCCCCCCUACCCACACACACACGCAAAAGCAGGCCCCUUCCUGGAAGUAAUCACGAGGAACAGGGGACGAUGCUACAUGCACCCACAGUGUGUUAUGUGGAGUGACCAUGAGCCAUGGAAUGCACAUAGUCUCUAGAAGAUAGAAAAGGCAAGAAACUGGAUUCUAGAGCUCCCAUAAAGGAAUGCAGCCCUUCUGAUACCUGAAUUUAAGCCCCAUGAGAUCCAUUCCAGACCUCUUAUGGCCAGAACUAUGUGUCCAUGGCUUCUGGAUGAUAUCUCAGCCUUCUUGGAACUCCUAGAGGCACCCUGAAGACAU
This 407-nucleotide long non-coding RNA is filed under the name Mustela putorius furo (domestic ferret). Its description in RNAcentral is "lncRNA (ENSMPUG00000027933.1)". Lineage: Eukaryota; Metazoa; Chordata; Mammalia; Carnivora; Mustelidae. The record is from RNAcentral.